UUUUUGAUGAAUUGCUUGUAUCCGUCACUGCUGACCCAUAUGAUUUCUCUUGCCCUGCUGACC
RNAcentral lists this small nucleolar RNA (63 nucleotides) under Euglena gracilis. RNAcentral's name for it is "Eg-m123 box C/D methylation-guide". The record is from RNAcentral. Lineage: Eukaryota; Euglenozoa; Euglenophyceae; Euglenales; Euglenaceae.